RNAcentral lists this ribosomal RNA (721 nucleotides) under uncultured Planctomycetota bacterium. Its description in RNAcentral is "bacterial SSU rRNA". It matches the Rfam family "Bacterial small subunit ribosomal RNA", at positions 568 to 1278 of the family's 1533-position model. The record is from RNAcentral. Lineage: Bacteria; Pseudomonadati; Planctomycetota.
CACGUAGGUGGGUUUGUAAGUCAGAUGUGAAAGCCUUCUGUUCAACGGAAGAAUUGCAUCUGAAACUGCGAGUCUUGAGUGUAGGAGGGGAGAAUGGAACUUCUGGUGGAGCGGUGAAAUGCGUAGAUAUCAGAAGGAACGCCGGCGGCGAAAGCGAUUCUCUGGCCUAUUACUGACACUCAGUGUGCGAAAGCUAGGGGAGCAAACGGGAUUAGAUACCCCGGUAGUCCUAGCCGUAAACGAUGGGCACUAAGUAGAGGGAAUUACCGAUAUUCUCUCUGCCGUAGCUAACGCAUUAAGUGCCCCGCCUGGGGAGUACGGCCGCAAGGCUAAAACUCAAAAGAAUUGACGGGGGCUCGCACAAGCGGUGGAGCAUGUGGCUUAAUUCGAUGCAACGCGAAAAACCUUACCGGGGCUUGACAUGGUAGAAGUAGGAACCCGAAAGGGUAACGAACGGUAUCCAGUCCGUAGCUAUCACAGGUGUUGCAUGGCUGUCGUCAGCUCGUGUCGUGAGACGUUGGGUUAAGUCCCCUGACGAGCGAAACCCUUGUUUUUAGUUACCAGCGGGUUGUGCCGGGUACUCUAGAAAGACUGCCGUCGUCAAGACGGAGGAAGGUGGGGAUGACGUCAAGUCAUCAUGGCCCUUAUGCCCCGGGCUGCACACGUGCUACAAUGGUCGGUACAAACGGAUGCGAAGCCGAGAGGUGAAGCGAAUCCAAGC